Molecule: ribosomal RNA, 730 nt
Filed under: Cellulosimicrobium sp. STS5
Lineage: Bacteria; Bacillati; Actinomycetota; Actinomycetes; Micrococcales; Promicromonosporaceae
Description: bacterial SSU rRNA
Rfam family: Bacterial small subunit ribosomal RNA
Source: RNAcentral
CGGGCAGACUAGAGUGCGGUAGGGGAGACUGGAAUUCCUGGUGUAGCGGUGGAAUGCGCAGAUAUCAGGAGGAACACCGAUGGCGAAGGCAGGUCUCUGGGCCGCAACUGACGCUGAGGAGCGAAAGCAUGGGGAGCGAACAGGAUUAGAUACCCUGGUAGUCCAUGCCGUAAACGUUGGGCACUAGGUGUGGGGCUCAUUCCACGAGUUCCGUGCCGCAGCAAACGCAUUAAGUGCCCCGCCUGGGGAGUACGGCCGCAAGGCUAAAACUCAAAGGAAUUGACGGGGGCCCGCACAAGCGGCGGAGCAUGCGGAUUAAUUCGAUGCAACGCGAAGAACCUUACCAAGGCUUGACAUGCACGAGAAGCCACCAGAGAUGGUGGUCUCUUUGGACACUCGUGCACAGGUGGUGCAUGGUUGUCGUCAGCUCGUGUCGUGAGAUGUUGGGUUAAGUCCCGCAACGAGCGCAACCCUCGUCCCAUGUUGCCAGCGGGUUAUGCCGGGGACUCAUGGGAGACUGCCGGGGUCAACUCGGAGGAAGGUGGGGAUGACGUCAAAUCAUCAUGCCCCUUAUGUCUUGGGCUUCACGCAUGCUACAAUGGCCGGUACAAAGGGCUGCGAUACCGUAAGGUGGAGCGAAUCCCAAAAAGCCGGUCUCAGUUCGGAUUGGGGUCUGCAACUCGACCCCAUGAAGUCGGAGUCGCUAGUAAUCGCAGAUCAGCAACGCUGC